RNAcentral lists this ribosomal RNA (253 nucleotides) under uncultured bacterium. RNAcentral describes it as "partial 16S ribosomal RNA". It matches the Rfam family "Bacterial small subunit ribosomal RNA", at positions 524 to 776 of the family's 1533-position model. The record is from RNAcentral.
UACGUAGGUGGCUAGCGUUGUCCGGAUUUACUGGGCGUAAAGAGCGCGCAGGCGGUCGUUCAAGUCGAGUGUGAAAGCCCCCGGCUCAACCGGGGAGGGUCGUCGGGUACGGGUGGGCUUGAGGGCAUCAGGGGCUGGUGGAAUUCCCGGUGUAGUGGUGAAAUUCGUAGAUAUUGGGAAGAACACCGGUGGCGAAGGCGGCGACCUGGUCCAUUACUGACGCUGAGGCGCGACAGCGUGGGGAGCAAACAGG